AUGAACCUGCUCCUCGACGUCUCCGGCCGCCUGCACGACGCACGCGACUUCGUACGCUUUCACGCCGUCUGCCGGCGGUGGCGGAACGCAGCACCGGCGGCGGCCCGCCACAAGUUCUUUCCAUGGAUGCUCUCGCAGCACCCCGGCCGCGGCGUGCUCAUGCACAUCCCCGUGUUCUACUUGGGGAGCGUCGCUCCCGAAGCGAUUUCGACCUAUCACUGCUGCUACGACGGCAACGUUCUCCCGUCGCUCGACGACACAGCUUGGGUGGCCGGCCCGAACGGCGAGGCCGUCUGGCGCUUCGAUUGGCAUCCCAAGCCAACACUCCAUGACAUUGUCACCGGAGCCAUCUGCCCGUUGCCGCACUUCCCCGCUGACAACUAUGAGAUCGUGCGGCGGCUGGGGAACCCCCUUGGCAUCGUGUAUGGCGAUGGCACUGUUUUUCUGUACAGCUUUGACGAACUAAAUAUUCACAUGACUGGCUUCACGGCGGCCGUCCUGCGUCCGGGUGACACGACAUGGGUGAUCAUGGAAAAGAGGUUCUAUGGGUCGGCGACAUACAAGAACAACUGUGCAGCAUAUCACAAUGGCAAGGUCUUUGUGUGGACGCGGAGACACUUCUACUGCUUCAUGACACAGAAUUUAGCAAACAAUGGUGGUGACAUAGACGGCAUCAGGCUCGAGAUGACGGAGGAUAGACCCGAGCACAAACGUUACAUGCGCUAUUACAACUAUGUCUUCGAGUCCUGCGGCAAGCUGUUGUGGGCGUCCGUCUUACUCGAGCAUGAAUGGUACCAUAAAAACAUGGACACCUUGUCCACCAAUGACCCCGUGAUACCAAUGCUGGCGGUGAUGGUGCAUGAAGCGGAAGAAGAAGUGGACAGUGGCAAGAUCAAGAUGCGAUGGGUGGAGAGAGAUGGCCGGAGUUUGGGUGAUCAUGUCAUGUUCCUUGGGUCCCCCACGAGCUUCGCUGUAGACUCCACCCAGCUAGACAUGGACGGUGGGUGCGCCUACUUCGUCUUUUUACAUCGCUUGUACAGGUAUAACUUCAUCACCGGCGAAACCAAACUUGUGGAGUCGCCACGUACCGGAUGGAUUUCCCCUGAUGCACACCUGUGGCUCCGGCCACGACCUGUGAUUUCUCCUAUUGAUGAAAUUCGAGAAAGCCUUAGGAUCCGGCCAAACAGAAAAGAAGACCAAAGAGGAAAAAAAUCUGCAAUUCAGUGGAUUUAUAAGUGGUUUUCAGGAAUUUCGUAG
RNAcentral lists this ribosomal RNA (1257 nucleotides) under Triticum aestivum (bread wheat). RNAcentral's name for it is "partial small subunit ribosomal RNA". The record is from RNAcentral. Lineage: Eukaryota; Viridiplantae; Streptophyta; Magnoliopsida; Poales; Poaceae.